RNAcentral lists this ribosomal RNA (253 nucleotides) under uncultured bacterium. RNAcentral's name for it is "partial 16S ribosomal RNA". It matches the Rfam family "Bacterial small subunit ribosomal RNA", at positions 524 to 776 of the family's 1533-position model. The record is from RNAcentral.
UACGUAGGGUGCAAGCGUUGUCCGGAAUUAUUGGGCGUAAAGAGCUCGUAGGCGGUUUGUCGCGUCUGCUGUGAAAACCCGAGGCUCAACUCCGGAUCUGCGGUGGGUACGGGCAGACUAGAGUGAUGUAGGGGAGACUGGAAUUCCUGGUGUAGCGGUGAAAUGCGCAGAUAUCAGGAGGAACACCGAUGGCGAAGGCAGGUCUCUGGGCAUUAACUGACGCUGAGGAGCGAAAGCAUGGGGAGCGAACAGG